RNAcentral lists this ribosomal RNA (265 nucleotides) under uncultured bacterium. RNAcentral describes it as "partial 16S ribosomal RNA". It matches the Rfam family "Bacterial small subunit ribosomal RNA", at positions 88 to 354 of the family's 1533-position model. The record is from RNAcentral.
AUGGCGACCGGCGCACGGGUGAGUAACACGUAUCCAACCUGCCUCAUACUCGGGGAUAGCCUUUCGAAAGAAAGAUUAAUAUCCGAUAGGAUAUCAAGGUCGCAUGAUCUUGAUAUUAAAGAAUUUCGGUUAUCGAUGGGGAUGCGUUCCAUUAGUUAGUUGGCGGGGUAACGGCCCACCAAGACGACGAUGGAUAGGGGUUCUGAGAGGAAGGUCCCCCACAUUGGAACUGAGACACGGUCCAAACUCCUACGGAAGGCAGCAG